UCUCAAGAUGGAGACCGGCCCAUGUGAGGAAGAUCAUCGGAAACCUGACCUCAUGCCCAUUUCAUGGUUACCAUAAAGCUUGGGCCAAGGGCUACAGCCAGCUUGGACUCAUGGGGAAAGCCUCCCCAAGAGAAUGAACCCCUAGCCCCCAGCAAUUUCUUUGUCAUCGUGGGCUUCUUUCCUCACACAGAAACCCAGUAAGAGUGUGGCGGGGCUGUGAGAGCCGUCAUCCAUCACUACGCGUUAAACCCAAGGCAAUUCCAGAAAUUGAGAUUGCUGAACUGAACACCACGUCAUGUGCAUACAGCCAGAGUCCAGCCUGCUGCUGGUCAGAGGUCAGGGGUCAAAGGUGGACCCUGACCUCAAGCUGGUGCCAAAGACAUGAGGACACGUGAGAACUUGACCUGCUGAGAAUCCAUCAGGGAAGAAGAGCCACACCCAAACAGUGCUGAUUCAGACCAGAGGUGCUGAUCUUUUCGCCCGGACUCUCCGGCCACCCCUCCUGCGAUCGGCGUGUGUCAUAUGAGGACAACGUGUGUGGCAUUAACAGUGGCAUCGGGGAGCAUCAGGGGUGUUUAGAAUCUACCCUUUAGAACUGAAAUGAUAUGUCUGGCUUUGUUUCCAGGGUUACAGAAACUUCUUUGGUCUAUUUCCAUGACUGUGUCCAGUGGAAAUGCAUUACUUUCUGCUUUUCAGACUGCGCUACCUCCCUCCAGGAUAAUGGAGGCAUACAGUGGCAUCUCUAGUUGGGAGUUGGCUUGGGUCGAGCCUUUGCAUUACCUGGCAAAACCGGCUUUAUUUUCUAAAGCAGUUUUAGGGUCAUAGAAAAUUUAGUUGUAGAAAGUACAGCAUUUCCAGCUACCCCUUGUCCCCACAAAUGCACAGUCUGUCCCUCUGCCAACAUCCCGGACCAGAGUGGUACAUUUGUUAUAAUCCAUGGACCUACGCUGACGCCUUAUUAUCAUCCAAAGUCCAUAGUUUACAUUAUGGCUCACUCUUGCUGGUGUGCAUUCUCUGGGUUUGGAGGAAGAUAUAAUGAAAUGUAUCCACCAUACAUUUCAUUCGCCUAAAAAUCCUCUGUGCUCCGCCUAUUUAUCCCUCCCUCUCCCCAACCCUGGUGACCACAAAUCUUUUUACUUUUCCACAAUGUCACAGAGUUGGGAUCCUAUGGUAUGUAGCCUUUUCUGAUUGACUUCUUUAAAUACACCUUACUAAAGUAAUAAGCAUUUAGGGUUCUUCCAUGUCCUUUUGUAUCUUAAUAACUCAUUUCUUUUUAGCGCCAAAUAAUCCUCCAUUGUCAGGAUGUACCACAGUUUCUUAUUUAUCCAUUCAUCUACUAAAGGACAUUUUGGUUGCUUCCAAGUUUUGGCAAUUGUGAAUAAAGCUGUUAUAAGCAUCCAUGUGCAGGUUUCUGUAGAGAUGAGUUUUUAAUUCACUUGGGGAAACACCAAGGAGCAUGAUUGCUGGAUAUAUGGAGAGAGUGUAUUUCAUUUUGUAAGCAAGUGCCAUCCUGUCUUCCAGGGUGGCUGUCCCAUUUUGCUUUCCCAUCAGCAAUGAAUGAGAGUUGCUGUUUCUCCACAUCCUCACCAGGAUCCAUGUUCUGGAUUUUGGUGAUUCUAAUAGAGAGCUGUGAUAACACAAGGGAGUCGUGUCAACCUCGUCUCAUGCACCAGCUGAACUCGGUGACACCAGCAACUUGGAUCCCGACAGACCGGGUGUUACGACCGCACCUCCAGGGAGGCUGCCCAGGGCUGGACCGCGCUUCUCUCAAGGUGCUUUGUGUGCACUGUGGGGCAGCUUGACCUGAGCGAAGGCAGCAAACGCGCCUUGAGUCGGAACCCCAGCCGGAGUCAGUAACACAGUGGUUCUCAAACUUCAGCCUGUGCCUGAGUCACCUGCGAGACGUGUUAAAACAUAGAGUCUUAUAACCGCCUCUCCCCAGAGACUCCGAUUCAGUCGGUCUGGGGCAGGGAUGGUGAUUUUGCAUGUCUAGCGAGUUCCUAAGUGCUCCUGGUUGGGAGAUCACACUUUGAAAACCACAAGCCUACUCCAGCAACUUGACUUAGACAGCUCUUCCUCUCCAGGUCUUCUGUGCCCUAAGGGACUUCAGAGCUGGGGAGAAAAGGGAAUGGAAGCCAAAAGAUGGAAACAACCAAAUAUCCAUCAACAGGUGAAUGGACAGGCAGAAGGUGGUAUGUCCAUACAGUGGAAUACUAUUCCACCAGGAAAAGGAACUCGAUACUGACACACAUUACAACAUGGAUGAACCGGGAAGGCAUUAUGCGGAAAGGAAGCAGCCAGCUGGGGCCUGCUGGGGCCACAUGGUGCACGAUUCCACGGAUAGGAGAUGCCCAGAAGAAGCAAAUUCAUAGAGACUGAAAGCAGAUUGGGGGUUGCCAGGAGGUAGGACGGAAUGGAGAGCCACUGCCUAUUGGGUUUCCAUUUGGGAUGAUGCAAACGUUCUGGAACUAGACAGAGGUGAUGGGUGGACAACACUGUGAAUGUACCUAAUGCAAUUGAACUGAACUCUUUAAAAUGA
Leptonychotes weddellii (Weddell seal) is the source of this 2539-nucleotide non-coding RNA. The record is from RefSeq and is a predicted model, not a curated record. NCBI's taxonomy places the organism in Eukaryota, Metazoa, Chordata, Mammalia, Carnivora, Phocidae.